This 2301-nucleotide long non-coding RNA is filed under the name Monodelphis domestica (gray short-tailed opossum). RNAcentral's name for it is "lncRNA (ENSMODG00000049450.1)". Lineage: Eukaryota; Metazoa; Chordata; Mammalia; Didelphimorphia; Didelphidae. The record is from RNAcentral.
AACAGUGUACUGUAAAGAGACUGGAGGAUAUAUUUUUAAAGCAUUUCAGACUCCAAUGUUUUAUAAAAAAUCUCUGUAUUUUAUUGCAUUUUACUGAUUGUUUUGUUUAAGAUUUAAUUUUGUUGGUUUUAAGUUCAUAUAUUAACGUGUUCAAUACUAUUCUGUUAUACUGAAUCAUUUUAAUAUACUGGGUUUUAAAUACUGUUAUAUUCUGUUGCUUUUCCCCUAUAACUAUACUGAACAAAUAUUAUUGAGUAAGCUCAUAUACCAAAACAGCAUUUUUCUGUUUUGAAUUUGUAAAUUGUCACAAAGAGGAUAGAUGGACUUCAUCAGACCUGGUUACAAUUGUAUAACAACCUUUGGAAAAUUUAAUGAGCUAAAUAUCUCAAAUUGAUUCUAAGGGGUCUUUUAUACAUGAUUUUUCCCCCAAGAACUCUGGUCAUUUUGCCUGCCCCUAACAGAAGGUAAGGUCCAUUUUAGUAGUUGAAGUGAAAUACAAUUUUAAUCCCCACCUCACACAUUUAUAACAAUGUGAAAGGAUGGGACAUCACAGCCUCAUACCAAGGAGCUGGGAAGUUAAUCCCAGGGCAUAUAGUAGCCCUGGAGUACUCCCAAAAGAGGAGCAUCUCUCAUUUGUAACUCUUCAGCUCAAUUUACCCAAUAUCAACAGUACAGGCAUUUGGGUUUUUCCUAGACUCCGCUGCCAUAUUUUUGUAAUGAUAUCUAGAUUUCUUGAUGAUGUUCUAAACCCAAAAUAAGUUUUACUUUGUUUAAAAAUAUGUUUACCAAGGUUGAAAGAUUUGCUAUGUCUGUAAAAACUUUUGACAAGUAUCCAUUUUCUUUAAAUGUCAUAAAGCAGACUCAUGUUAAAAAUGAUAGUGUGUUUUUUUGCUUUUGUAAUUAACUGGGAUAUUGAAAAUUUGGGGGAUAUUGAUACCUACAUAUUUGUACUACUGUCCUUUAUAAAAAAAUACUGUUACCUUGUGAAAUUCAUUUGCUCAUACUCACAGUGGAUCAUGGCCAGAUAUGAAGAGGAAAUGGAUCUCAUUUUUGGACAAGAUAAUACAAAAAGAGGCAUUGUAUAGAGCCAAAGAAGCACAAAGCUAAACCUGAAUAGUGCCAAGAGAGCACACAUGUCAAAAAAAAAAGAAGAAACCAAUCCAGGAAGGACUGAUGAAAAUUCUAAGCCAAAACAAAGGACUUGAACCUAGUGUGAAGUCUCAAGUUUGCAACACUUAACAUACAUUAAGACGUAGGCCUUCCUUGUAUCCACACUCUGAAAAUACUUACAGACAAGUAUCUCAAACUUGGCUCCUAUGUGGCUCCUAUAAUCUAGUCCUUUUUCUGUCUUUUCUAGUGUGGCAACUUUCUGUAAUCCUGGCUACUGACUGGGUAAAUGCAUCAAUGCUUAAAUCAUUUUAAUUGGGCCCUGAUUCAAGAACCUCUUCCUUUACUUAGAAUUUUUACACAUAAGACUUUAAUAGUCUAUAUUUUCAUCCAGAAAUUUUCUUUUUUUAUUUGGAUCUUUCUGAUGUCUUUUUAAUUUCUCUUGCCAAUUGAUUCAUAUACCUCAUAACUCAGCCAUGCAUCCCUAAAUUAUCCCUGUGUUUUUCAAUCACCCUCUUCAAGGGGGGAAUGUAAAAAUAUUAUUAUUUUAAAUUGCAAAGUUUAAAUUAUUUUGGAGAAGAAUUUGUUAAGAAACAUGCUACCUCUCCAAAUCCAGAAACUGAAUUGUUUGGAGAAGAUUCCAUGAAGGUGCACCAGACCACAAGCUGCAUGAGAAAUCAAGAAUGAACUUUGGGUGUGGUUGAUUGAACAUUCAUUUGUUUGUAUACUUUCAUACCAAAGGGGACUGCCCUCUAAUUGGUUUUUUGUCAUGGUAUCUAGCAAUUAUUGGUUUUGUUCUUUUUUCCUCUUAUCGUCAAAUUAUUGCAAUCUUUAAUUUGAUCAUGUUUUCAUGAUCCUUUUGGGGAAACUGGUUUCCCAAUAAUGAUAAAAGGGGGGAGGGAAAUGUAAAAAAUGGAGAUUUGAACCCCAGACUUCAAUCCCCAGAAGUCCUUGGUUCUUCACAGAAUUCCCUAUAAUCUUACCCGAGUCUCCACCUGAAUGAGAUCACAAUUUAUUAUUUAAAGUGCUCUCUGCCUCUCAAGAGCUCUCUUCCUCAACUUGAAACAUUGCAACCUGUAGUGAUUAGGCUGUGAAUGGGCUAAAUCAGCCCUAGGAACGUGGCUUAUUAUUUUGUAUCCCUUAUUUCUAAUAAUCAUUAAUAAACCUCAUAAAAUAUAAUACUUUUACUAGAGA